CUAGCCCUAAACGAUGAUCGCUUGGUGUAUUGGGUACCCAAUCCCAAUGUGCCGGAGCUAACGCGUUAAGCGAUCCGCCUGGGGAGUACGGUCGCAAGACUGAAACUCAAAGGAAUUGACGGGGGCCCGCACAAGCGGUGGAGCAUGUGGUUCAAUUCGACGCAACGCGAAGAACCUUACCUGGGCUCGAAAUGCAGUGGACCGGGGUGGAAACAUCCCUUCCCGCAAGGGCUGCUGUAUAGGUGCUGCAUGGCUGUCGUCAGCUCGUGUCGUGAGAUGUUGGGUUAAGUCCCGCAACGAGCGCAACCCUUAUUGCCAGUUGCCAUCAUUAAGUUGGGCACUCUGGCGAAACCGCCCCGGAUAACGGGGAGGAAGGUGGGGAUGACGUCAAGUCCUCAUGGCCUUUAUGUCCAGGGCUACACACGUGCUACAAUGGUCUAUACAAACCGUCGCAAACCCGCGAGGGGGAGCUAAUCGGAAAAAGUAGGCCUCAGUUCGGAUUGUAGUCUGCAACUCGACUACAUGAAGCUGGAAUCGCUAGUAAUCGCGGAUCAGAACGCCGCGGUGAAUACGUUCCCGGGCCUUGUACUCACCGCCGUACGGACCAGGACAU
Molecule: ribosomal RNA, 613 nt
Filed under: uncultured bacterium
Lineage: Bacteria
Description: bacterial SSU rRNA
Rfam family: Bacterial small subunit ribosomal RNA
Source: RNAcentral